AGUGAACGCUGGCGGUAGGCCUAACACAUGCAAGUCGAACGGCAGCACAGUAAGAGCUUGCUCUUACGGGUGGCGAGUGGCGGACGUGUGAGGAAUACAUCGGAAUCUACUUUUUCGUGGGGGAUAACGUAGGGAAACUUACGCUAAUACCGCAUACGCCCUACGGGUGAAAGCAGGGGAUCUUCGGACCUUGCGCGAUUGAAUGAGCCGAUGUCGGAUUAGCUAGUUGGCGGGGUAAAGGCCCACCAAGUCGACGAUCGGUAGCUGGUCUGAGAGGAGGAUCGGCGACACUGGAGCGGGGACGCGCACAAGACGCCUGCGGGAGGCAGCAGUGGGGAAUGUUGGGCAACAGGGGGGAACAUGGUACAGCGAGAGCGCGUCGGAGAAGGCAGCGUUCGGGGUGUGAAGACCUUUUGUGGGGAGAAAAAAGCAGCAGCUUGUGACGAAGCUGUAGUGACGGUAACGAAAGAAUAAGCACCGGCUAACUACGUG
This 492-nucleotide ribosomal RNA is filed under the name uncultured bacterium. RNAcentral's name for it is "partial 16S ribosomal RNA". It matches the Rfam family "Bacterial small subunit ribosomal RNA", at positions 30 to 507 of the family's 1533-position model. The record is from RNAcentral.